UAGGGAAUAUUGCACAAUGGGGGAAACCAUGAUGCAGCGACGCCGCGUGAAGGAAGAAGUAUCUCGGUAUGUAAACUUCUAUCAGCAGGGAAGACAAUGACGGUACCUGACUAAGAAGCCCCGGCUAACUACGUGCC
RNAcentral lists this ribosomal RNA (137 nucleotides) under uncultured bacterium. RNAcentral describes it as "partial 16S ribosomal RNA". It matches the Rfam family "Bacterial small subunit ribosomal RNA", at positions 355 to 509 of the family's 1533-position model. The record is from RNAcentral.